AGCCUAUGAUGGUGUAAGAGUAGUGGACAGAAGAGGUUUCUGAAAAAAAUUUAUUCUGAGGCU
This 63-nucleotide small nucleolar RNA is filed under the name Sciurus carolinensis (gray squirrel). Its description in RNAcentral is "Small nucleolar RNA SNORD75". It matches the Rfam family "Small nucleolar RNA SNORD75". From Rfam's summary of the family: U75 (SNORD75) belongs to the C/D class of snoRNAs which contain the C (UGAUGA) and D (CUGA) box motifs. Lineage: Eukaryota; Metazoa; Chordata; Mammalia; Rodentia; Sciuridae. RNAcentral also lists the same sequence under 1 other name. The record is from Rfam by way of RNAcentral.